RNAcentral lists this ribosomal RNA (438 nucleotides) under uncultured bacterium. RNAcentral's name for it is "bacterial SSU rRNA". It matches the Rfam family "Bacterial small subunit ribosomal RNA", at positions 986 to 1416 of the family's 1533-position model. RNAcentral also lists the same sequence under 1 other name. The record is from RNAcentral.
AUCACCGAAAUCACCUUUAUACGGUGAGUGCCUCGAUUUAUCGAGGAAUCGUGUGACAGGUGCUGCAUGGCUGUCGUCAGUUCGUGUCGUGAGAUGUUGGGUUAAGUCCCGCAACGAACGCAACCCCUGUCUUUAGUUACCAGCAUUAAGUUGGGGACUCUAGAGAGACUGCCAAGGUGACAACUUGGAGGAAGGUGGGGACGACGUCAAGUCAUCAUGGUCCUUACGUCCAGGGCUAGAAACGUACUACAAUGGUUGGCACAGAGGGGAGCAACACAGCGAUGUGAAGCAAAUCCUUAAAACCAACCUCAGUUCGGAUUGGAGUCUGCAACUNGANNCCAUGAAGUUGGAAUCGCUAGUAAUCGCGGAUCAGCAAUGCCGCGGUGAAUAUGUUCCCGGGUAUUGUACAUACCGCCCGUCAAGUCAACCGAGUUAUUU